This 507-nucleotide long non-coding RNA is filed under the name Rattus norvegicus (Norway rat). RNAcentral's name for it is "long non-coding RNA NONRATT031786". Lineage: Eukaryota; Metazoa; Chordata; Mammalia; Rodentia; Muridae. The record is from RNAcentral.
CUUGAACUAAAGAGUAAAAACCUGCACAUGUGAUAGAUUCUUAAAUACCACUAAUGACACGCGGUACACACAGUGUUUUCGGGAAGCAGGACAUCUGUCAUGACUGUCAAUGUGUGUUAGCCAUCUACAUACUCCCCGUGAGUUCUGUGACCAUGACCAGUGUUUAUUUCCAUGGGUUUCUCAGCUACAGUUGUUAAGAUCAUCCCGAUCAAAGGUGCUUUGUUUCUUUCUAGUACCCUCUUUGUAAUCAGAUGUGUCUUUGGGGUAGACAAGAAAGGUGCUUUGUUUCUUUCUAGUACCCUCUUUGUAAUCAGAUGUGUCUUUGGGGUAGACAAGAAAGGUUCACAGGCAGUCUGUGAAACCAUAGGUUAGAGGAGACUCUAUCCAUUUUCUGGCAGCUUUUCCUCCUCAGCAUGUUCUAUAUAUGAGCCCAACCUAUUUCACAAAUCUCAAUCACCGUGAGGUCAGAGGUCAGGAAACUUAAGACAGACCACUGGGAUGCAGACU